RNAcentral lists this ribosomal RNA (494 nucleotides) under uncultured bacterium. Its description in RNAcentral is "partial 16S ribosomal RNA". It matches the Rfam family "Bacterial small subunit ribosomal RNA", at positions 28 to 507 of the family's 1533-position model. The record is from RNAcentral.
GACGAACGCUGGCGGCGUGCUUAACACAUGCAAGUCGAACGGUGAAGCGCCUUCCUUUUUGGUGGGUGUGGAUGAGUGGAGAACGGGUGAGUAACACGUGAGUAACCUGCCCCCUUCUUCUGGAUAACCGCAUGAAAGUGUGGCUAAUACGGGAUAUUCUGGGUCUGUCGCAUGAUGGGUCUGGGAAAGAUAUUGUUUCGGUGGGGGAUGGGCUCGCGGCCUAUCAGCUUGUUGGUGGGGUGAUGGCCUACCAAGGCGGUGACGGGUAGCCGGCCUGAGAGGGUGGACGGUCACACUGGGACUGAGACACGGCCCAGACUCCUACGGGAGGCAGCAGUGGGGAAUAUUGCACAAUGGGCGCAAGCCUGAUGCAGCGACGCCGCGUGAGGGAUGGAGGCCUUCGGGUUGUGAACCUCUUUCGCCAGUGAAGCAGGCCUGCCUCGUUUGUGGGUGGGUUGACGGUAGCUGGAUAAGAAGCGCCGGCUAACUACGUG